UACUGUGAAUGAUGCAUAAAAUAC
Molecule: non-coding RNA, 24 nt
Filed under: Arabidopsis thaliana (thale cress)
Lineage: Eukaryota; Viridiplantae; Streptophyta; Magnoliopsida; Brassicales; Brassicaceae
Source: RNAcentral